This 1343-nucleotide ribosomal RNA is filed under the name uncultured bacterium. RNAcentral's name for it is "16S ribosomal RNA". It matches the Rfam family "Bacterial small subunit ribosomal RNA", at positions 28 to 1378 of the family's 1533-position model. The record is from RNAcentral.
GACGAACGCUGGCGGCGUGCUUAACACAUGCAAGUCGAACGGAAAGGCCCUGCUUUUGUGGGGUGCUCGAGUGGCGAACGGGUGAGUAACACGUGAGUAACCUGCCCUUGACUUUGGGAUAACUUCAGGAAACUGGGGCUAAUACCGGAUAGGAGCUCCUGCUGCAUGGUGGGGGUUGGAAAGUUUCGGCGGUUGGGGAUGGACUCGCGGCUUAUCAGCUUGUUGGUGGGGUAGUGGCUUACCAAGGCUUUGACGGGUAGCCGGCCUGAGAGGGUGACUGGCCACAUUGGGACUGAGAUACGGCCCAGACUCCUACGGGAGGCAGCAGUGGGGAAUAUUGCACAAUGGGCGGAAGCCUGAUGCAGCAACGCCGCGUGCGGGAUGACGGCCUUCGGGUUGUAAACCGCUUUCGCCUGUGACGAAGCGUGAGUGACGGUAAUGGGUAAAGAAGCACCGGCUAACUACGUGCCAGCAGCCGCGGUGAUACGUAGGGUGCGAGCGUUGUCCGGAUUUAUUGGGCGUAAAGGGCUCGUAGGUGGUUGAUCGCGUCGGAAGUGUAAUCUUGGGGCUUAACCCUGAGCGUGCUUUCGAUACGGGUUGACUUGAGGAAGGUAGGGGAGAAUGGAAUUCCUGGUGGAGCGGUGGAAUGCGCAGAUAUCAGGAGGAACACCAGUGGCGAAGGCGGUUCUCUGGGCCUUUCCUGACGCUGAGGAGCGAAAGCGUGGGGAGCGAACAGGCUUAGAUACCCUGGUAGUCCACGCUGUAAACGGUGGGUACUAGGUGUGGGGUCCAUUCCACGGGUUCCGUGCCGUAGCUAACGCUUUAAGUACCCCGCCUGGGGAGUACGGCCGCAAGGCUAAAACUCAAAGGAAUUGACGGGGCCCCGCACAAGCGGCGGAGCAUGCGGAUUAAUUCGAUGCAACGCGUAGAACCUUACCUGGGUUUGACAUGGAUCGGGAGUGCUCAGAGAUGGGUGUGCCUCUUUUGGGGUCGGUUCACAGGUGGUGCAUGGCUGUCGUCAGCUCGUGUCGUGAGAUGUUGGGUUAAGUCCCGCAACGAGCGCAACCCUUGUUCACUGUUGCCAGCACGUUAUGGUGGGGACUCAGUGGAGACCGCCGGGGUCAACUCGGAGGAAGGUGGGGAUGACGUCAAGUCGUCAUGCCCCUUAUGUCCAGGGCUUCACGCAUGCUACAAUGGCUGGUACAGAGAGUGGCGAGCCUGUGAGGGUGAGCGAAUCUCGGAAAGCCGGUCUCAGUUCGGAUUGGGGUCUGCAACUCGACCUCAUGAAGUCGGAGUCGCUAGUAAUCGCAGAUCAGCAACGCUGCGGUGAAUACGUUCCCGGG